CAUAUUGAAUGACCGUGGUGUCGCAGGUCUAAGGAUCAGUUGUACCACUGCAACAUCGAACCAGUUACUGACGAAUGAGUAGACAUCCAUGUAACUGUUCGUAGUUGGUCACGCUCAGUACCCUUGUUCUCCAACAACCACCUGCAUGUUCGCUCCAGUGUCCCCACACUGAUGACUCGAGAUUCGUCAUCCUAAAAGGGAAGCGGCACACACAUCAAUCUUACCGGAUCAAUCAUCGCCCCCAUAUUGAUCCUCCGAUUGAGAGCAUUUAUGAAUUAAUCACCAAUAAUAUGUAUCUCAAAUUCUCAACUCUUGAGAAUACAUAUUAUUAUCUUAUUAAUUCAAAAGACGAUUCAUGAACACAUUUAACAUGAAUGGAAUAAAAGGCCCAAUUAUAUAAAUAAUAAAGAUUAAGUAUAAAUAUAUGUCCUAUAGAAAAUAAAAUGCGUCAGCCUGA
RNAcentral lists this long non-coding RNA (457 nucleotides) under Ananas comosus (pineapple). RNAcentral describes it as "long non-coding RNA (ACOM_LNC034330)". Lineage: Eukaryota; Viridiplantae; Streptophyta; Magnoliopsida; Poales; Bromeliaceae. The record is from RNAcentral.